This 658-nucleotide ribosomal RNA is filed under the name uncultured fungus. Its description in RNAcentral is "eukaryotic LSU rRNA". It matches the Rfam family "Eukaryotic large subunit ribosomal RNA", at positions 24 to 664 of the family's 3401-position model. The record is from RNAcentral. Lineage: Eukaryota; Fungi.
CCCGCUGAACUUAAGCAUAUCAAUAAGCGGAGGGAAAGAAACUAACAAGGAUUCCCCUAGUAACUGCGAGUGAAGCGGGAAAAGCUCAAAUUUAAAAUCUGGUGGCCUUUGGCCAUCCGAGUUGUAAUUUAGAGAAGCGUCUUCCGCGCUGGACCGUGCACAAGUCUCCUGGAAUGGAGCGUCGUAGAGGGUGAGAAUCCCGUCUUUGGCACGGACGCCCAGUGCUUCUGUGAUGCGCUCUCGAAGAGUCGAGUUGUUUGGGAAUGCAGCUCAAAAUGGGUGGUGAACUCCAUCUAAAGCUAAAUAUUGGCGAGAGACCGAUAGCGAACAAGUACCGUGAGGGAAAGAUGAAAAGAACUUUGGAAAGAGAGUUAAACAGUACGUGAAAUUGUUGAAAGGGAAACGCUUGAAGUCAGUCGCGUUGGUCAGAAAUCAGCCUUACUUUUGUUUGGUGUACUUUCUGGUUGACGGGUCAGUAUCAGUUUUGACUGUUGGAUAAAGAUUAGAGGAAUGUGGCAUCUUCGGAUGUGUUAUAGCCUUUAGUUGUAUACAACAGUUGGGACUGAGGAACUCAGCACGCCGCAAGGCCGGGUCUUUGACCACGUCCGUGCUUAGGAUACUGGCAUAAUGGCUUUAAUCGACCCGUCUUGAAACACGG